Molecule: ribosomal RNA, 253 nt
Filed under: uncultured bacterium
Lineage: Bacteria
Description: partial 16S ribosomal RNA
Rfam family: Bacterial small subunit ribosomal RNA
Source: RNAcentral
UACGAAGGGGGCUAGCGUUGCUCGGAAUCACUGGGCGUAAAGGGUGCGUAGGCGGGUCUUUAAGUCAGGGGUGAAAUCCUGGAGCUCAACUCCAGAACUGCCUUUGAUACUGAGGAUCUUGAGUUCGGGAGAGGUGAGUGGAACUGCGAGUGUAGAGGUGAAAUUCGUAGAUAUUCGCAAGAACACCAGUGGCGAAGGCGCCUCACUGGCCCGGAACUGACGCUGAGGCUCGAAAGCGUGGGGAGCAAACAGG